Molecule: ribosomal RNA, 253 nt
Filed under: uncultured bacterium
Lineage: Bacteria
Description: partial 16S ribosomal RNA
Rfam family: Bacterial small subunit ribosomal RNA
Source: RNAcentral
UACGGAGGGAGCUAGCGUUGUUCGGAAUUACUGGGCGUAAAGCGCGCGUAGGCGGACCUGCAAGUCGGGGGUGAAAGCCCGAGGCUCAACCUCGGAACUGCCUUCGAUACUGCGGGUCUCGAGUCCGGGAGAGGUGAGUGGAAUUCCUAGUGUAGAGGUGAAAUUCGUAGAUAUUAGGAAGAACACCAGUGGCGAAGGCGGCUCACUGGCCCGGUACUGACGCUGAGGCGCGAAAGCGUGGGGAGCAAGCAGG